Molecule: ribosomal RNA, 435 nt
Filed under: Pseudomonas sp.
Lineage: Bacteria; Pseudomonadati; Pseudomonadota; Gammaproteobacteria; Pseudomonadales; Pseudomonadaceae
Description: bacterial SSU rRNA
Rfam family: Bacterial small subunit ribosomal RNA
Source: RNAcentral
GCUUGCUUCUCUUGAGAGCGGCGGACGGGUGAGUAAUGCCUAGGAAUCUGCCUGGUAGUGGGGGAUAACGUUCGGAAACGGACGCUAAUACCGCAUACGUCCUACGGGAGAAAGCAGGGGACCUUCGGGCCUUGCGCUAUCAGAUGAGCCUAGGUCGGAUUAGCUAGUUGGUGGGGUAAUGGCUCACCAAGGCGACGAUCCGUAACUGGUCUGAGAGGAUGAUCAGUCACACUGGAACUGAGACACGGUCCAGACUCCUACGGGAGGCAGCAGUGGGGAAUAUUGGACAAUGGGCGAAAGCCUGAUCCAGCCAUGCCGCGUGUGUGAAGAAGGUCUUCGGAUUGUAAAGCACUUUAAGUUGGGAGGAAGGGCAGUAAAUUAAUACUUUGCUGUUUUGACGUUACCGACAGAAUAAGCACCGGCUAACUCUGUGCC